GUACUUAGAGCAAUGCCUAGCAUAAUAAACACUAGCUGUCAUUACUUUCCACAUUAUCUCAGAUUUAAACAAGAUACUAAUACUAGAGGGAAAUAAUUAAAGUAUAUUUUGCAGUGUUGUCUGUUUGUACAGAAGAAGUAACUGGGGCUGGGAGAAAGAUUCAAUGUAUUUGAAGAAUAGAUGAAAAAGAGCCAGGACAGCAGUUCCCUUCUCAUUUGGGAUCGUUUUUGCCUGUGGUCUGUGGUAACCCAAAGUCACAUGGAUGAAGCCUCUGCUUCAUGUGAGUGUCCU
Molecule: long non-coding RNA, 291 nt
Organism: Homo sapiens (human)
Lineage: Eukaryota; Metazoa; Chordata; Mammalia; Primates; Hominidae
Exons: 3
Source: RefSeq, a predicted model, not a curated record